UGAUGAUAGAAAUUAUUGGUAAAAAUUAUCCAAUAAAAUUAAUUUAAAACUUUUAAUUAGUAUUAAGCAAUAAUUUAACAUGGUUUGUGAAUAUUAUGUAAAGUGUUUUAGAGAUAAAUUUAAAUUUUCAAUUUUCUUAAAACAAAUCGGGCUAAGGCCCACAAGCAAACAAACCCAGCUACGAGGAGAAAGAAGACGAUGAAUUGUCUGGAACAACGCCGCGCGCCGCCGCCGCCGCCUCCGCCUCGUUUCUCCCACCUGAGAAGAUGCUUAAGUUUCCUCAUCUGAACAUCACCAACAACUCUCCCUCCAGCAAGUAACUUCCAAAGAGACCAAUAAAAACCCUCUUAACCAAAAAACCACCUUCUCCGAUGAUCUACGGGAGAGUUGACGGUCAGUGCUCCUACAGCUCCUACGCUUUCAAGGGUCAGGCGGUCAAAAAAGCCGGCUAUUGGACCCCAGAGAUGACCGUCCUCACGGCUUAAAACGGAAAUGCACCCACAUGCGGGUUUUAAUAGAGAGCAUAGCAAAUAAAGCUUCGCUGGAUAGACACAUACACAAGUUGAAGGACCCAGACCUUGGGUAGAUCUCAACCCUUGGAUGCAACAAAAGAAACUAGAUCUUAGGCAGGUUACAUGAUUCCUUCAUCAUGAACAACAAACCUGCAAACCACAAACUUCAAACCCUAAAACACUUAUGUACAGCCCCAUCCGGAGGAGGGAAAGGAAGACCCAUGUCCAGACAAGGCAUGAAGGGCCAUCCCCCGCCCAGAAGGGGUAGAAAAUGGCCGUUGUAUCCGGCCGACCAAGAGACCUCUCUCUUAGAAAUACAAAGGCCCUCUUAGAAGUAUUAGGCCCCCUUUUUUUUCUAACUCAAUGAUCUUUUGGGCUCUUUGUUUUGAUCCCAUAUCUAUUGAAAAAGAAAAUUCAAUUUAAUUAUUUGAAUAAUUGUAUAGUUGUAAUAAUUAUUUAUAAAAUCUUAAUUUAAAAAAUAAAUAGUAGAAAAUCCACUUUGGGCAGGUCAUUAGUGGGUUUCCCUUACCCUAACUGUCACCAAAACCAAUUCCCUUCUUCCUUGCUACCCCAUUUCAAUUGGUCAGCUAUAGAGAAUCAAGAAGACCUGCUUUCAUUUUCUUGAUCUUCCCCAUUGAUUUUCGCACACCUAUGGACGUUAUCAUUCAGUUGCAGCGACAGAUUGCUGAUUACAGAGCUUCUCUAUAUCGAGAGGUCAGUUUAUAUUCAUGUAUGUAUUGUUCUGAAUAUGAUCGAAUUUACUCCGUUCGUUUCUAUGGGAAGCGUGUCUGGGAAUUUCUUUUCUUUCUGAAUAAUUAGGAUGGGAUAAAAAUUACGUCUCUGGGAUAGAGGAUUUAAAAAAAAAAAAAAUUGUAUGAUAUUAUGUAGAUAUUCCUAAAAUUGAAUGAUUCUCAAGGGAAUAAUUUUGUAGAUAAAUAUUUUUCGGGUUUCUGCUGAUGGGUUUUUGUUGAUUUUGAGAAAGGGAUAUGUGGACGAUCAGUUUACUCAGCUGCAGAAGCUGCAGGACGAGAGUAGUCCUGAUUUUGUGGUGGAGGUUACUUCUCUUUUCUUUGAAGAUUGUGAGAAGCUUGUUAACAACAUGGCCAGAGCUCUGGAACCACGGGCUGUGGAUUUUAAACAGGUGGAUUCUCAUGUUCAUCAAUUGAAGGGUAGUAGUUCUAGCAUGGGUGCAGCAAGAAUUAAAAAUAUAUGCAUUGCCUUCAGAACCUAUUGCGAGUCCCAAGACCAUGAAGGGUGAGCUUGAUUUAUUACUUGUAUUUCAUCUUUUUACCCCUUAGUGCAAUGUAAAAUUCGUAUAAUUUAUUCAAUUUAUACUCAAAAAUUCUUUUGCCAUUACAAAACCUUUGUUAUAUAUUCAUUUAUGAAAAAUCAUGAAAGAAUUUGGUGUUUGUAUGGGCUACAAGCAUAGCAAUGGCCAAUUUGAUAAUUUGAUGACACAUUUACAAAUAAAUGUUUUGAGCUUCUAAAUGUGGAAAGUUGCUCAAAUGUUUUGAUACUCUGGUCUUGAAUGAAAGAAAAGUAGAGAACUUGUUUUACUAUCUGGUGAGUAAUUAGUUUUGGUAAUAUGAUGUCUUUUUAGGAUUAAACUGUUUGCUUGUGUAAGUUGAUCAUAGAAAUAGAAUGAAUGAAGUCCCUACAAAUUUCAGCCCACAUUGCAUUAUAUGAUAUGAGGAUACAGGCAAUUGUUCGGAUAUUCCUGGAUGUGAUCAUACUAGCUUUUGGCUUUUAGUUGAAUCCAAUGGUGGCUUGGCUGUGAAGGAAUUUAAUUAAUAAAAGAAUGUUGGUGCAGGUGUUUGAGAUGCCUUCAACAAGUGAAUCAUGAGUAUUCUCAAUUGAAGAUCAAACUUCAAACUUUAUUCAGGGUAAGUUAAACAAAAAACCUAUGUCAAAGGUGGCUGGCAGUCCUACAAAAAGGUUAUGAUCAUCCAGGGAAGAAUGCCCAUAUAUUUUACGGGUGUAUCUUAUUGGAAAAUAUCACUUAUUGUUAAACACGUCUCAAGAAAACUCUGAAACUCUGUCUGUCUAUCUGCUACGGCACUUCUAAACCUCACUUGAUUAAGCUUCCAGUGUCUCAUUCUGUACUGAGAAAAGAAUUUUGGAAAAUUAUCUUCACACUCUCACUCUUUGAAUUGCUUCUCUGGUCAAUCACUGGCUUAUGUGUUACUAGUUUGGCACUUUGUUGCUAGGUGUGCCUUUGGUGUAAGGCACUUGCCUAGUGCCUCCACAAGGUUAAGGUGGGUGACUUCUAACAGGCACAUACUUCAUAGCUUAAGCAUGUAGCCCAAUGCUGAAGAAAGGUGCACAUCACAAAUCUUCACCUCUGGUGAGCUCUUUCGCCAGCAAACGCCACAAUCACUAGACUUGGCAUCUCUUAAUCUAUCAGAUCCAGCAUUGACAAACUGGAACAUUGGCGGAAUCCUCCUGGACUCCACUGCCAGAGUUGCCAGCUGAUAAUCCUUCCAUUUCCAGCAUCCACAUGCCUCAAAUCUAUCCCCUCCUUUGGUCUUCUCUGUUACUCUCUCCCUUGGCUGCUCUAUUUAUGUUCUGUCUGUUUGUCUCCCCUUUUUCUGGCUCUGUUUCUUUUUCCCCGCUUAAAGAAUAAUGCUGACAAACAUUUAGCUCUCGUUAUACUCCAUUUGUUAUCUAUAGAUAGGUUUGAUUUAUUGUCCAUGUGUUUUUUUUUUCUUGGUAGUUAGAUUGUUAACUAUAGGUUGAUGUUUUGAAGAUUGUUAAUUUUUGUCAAUUCAUUAAAUUGAUUUUAUUGAAUUUUUAUGAAUAUUAAGUGUUAAUUUUUAUUUUUUGCCAAAUUUUAUUUUUCCAUGCCGGGCAGUGUCUUUACUCCUAUGUGCAUUAUUGAGCACUUUUAACAACUAUGGUUUGGCAUUUUCCCACCUCAAAUUUUGUUUCUCAGUUUCUUUUCUUCCAUUCUCUCUGUUUGACCACUGCAGCUGGAGCAACAGAUUGUCGCAGCUGGUGGAACAAUUCCUGUGCUUCAAUGAGUACGAUUGAUUUUAUCCUGUACCAACAAAAGAUUGAAGGAUUAAUGUUAUAGAUACUCUUGUAGCAGCGGAAGGUUUGAGCUUGAGCUACUUUGACGUCCUGAAGCCUUGUAUGUUGGGGAGCCACAAUGUGAAUAAAAAUUUCUAUAACUGCUUCUUAAACAUAUAUAAUUUGGUUUGCCUUUUUGGUAGUCAAAAUUUGCAUGUACCUGAUUUUUUCUUAUUUUAUCCUCUAUUGUCUCUAGGGACAUCACCUUUUAAUACAAUCCAUAAUGUGGAACCCAGUAAAUGUGCAUGACAUAUGAAUUUUGUAUAGAGAUGAUAUUUUCCAUGUCGACCAUUGCUUUUAUAUUGCCAAUCACAUGCUCAUUCCUGUAACUGUUGCUACCAGUGCUUAGACCAGAUCAAUGGCUGGUUUGAAAAUAAUACCAAGUUUUUG
This 3971-nucleotide unclassified non-coding RNA is filed under the name Hevea brasiliensis (rubber tree). The record is from RNAcentral. Lineage: Eukaryota; Viridiplantae; Streptophyta; Magnoliopsida; Malpighiales; Euphorbiaceae.